This 1183-nucleotide long non-coding RNA is filed under the name Mustela putorius furo (domestic ferret). RNAcentral's name for it is "lncRNA (ENSMPUG00000031858.1)". The record is from RNAcentral. Lineage: Eukaryota; Metazoa; Chordata; Mammalia; Carnivora; Mustelidae.
CCCUUCCUCCCUUCUUUCCUUUCUUCCCUCCCCGAUCUUCCUUCCCUUUCUGCUCUCUUUCUAAUAUUUCCUCCCCCGCCACAGUUCAGUGGCUGCGCGCCACCCUGUGACGCCUCCCGCCGCAUGGUCUGUGGAGGGGCCCUAUCUGACAGGUGUUCCAUGUCCCUGGCACGGAGCCCAGCACAGCCCCAAGUACAGCAGCAGCCCCACUUAGUAAUUCCUGUUGAGCAGCGGAUUCAACGCUGCUUGCUAACACAUCUGCUUUGGAUCACGCUGUGGGAGCAGUGUGGCUAACAAGGCGUGCAAGACCCCCUAUGAGCAGAGAACUGACGGCGGCCAAUGCUCAAGGGAGAAGCCUGCCUGGAGGGAAAGCAAGGAAAAAAAAAUACUAAAAGCCUUUGGAUUCUGUGUUUCCUCAAAGCAGAAUCAUUAAAGAGAUUAUGCCAGGUGCCCAGGAGGCAAAAACAUCUCUCUGUGAAGACGUGGUUCAAGGCAAGAGCCAGAGAAGCAGUUAUAAAGGUAAAAACCAGGAUGACAGGCAUGCAGAGGAGCGGCAAGUCCCUGAUCAAGGGUCUUGUGCCUCUGGUGGAAGGUCCUGUGUGCAACACACUCCUUUAAGAGUGUGAUGGUGGGAUAAGAACAGAGAUCCAGAUGGAGGCUGUGACUCCUUGCCCUGGUUCUGCAGUUAGCAGCUAUCCCAGCAAGGAUGUGGGGAGUAUGGACCUAAGAGUUUCUGCUUGUAGCCACUGUGCCAGUGCGGCCUCUCAGCAAUUUCAGAAUAUUUUGGGAGACCUACGAUUGGAAGACCUGUGGUCCGCUUUGCAAGGUGGAGUCCUGGGGAGCAGCAACACCACACGCACUACACACACAUUUGUGACAUUUCUAGGCAAGUGGGGUAAGAGAUAGGCUUGCAGAGUUUGGUGUGGUCUCCCCGUGUCCACCAUGGCACAAAAGCAGAAGAGAGACCUAUGACCCCUUCUUUUAACAUGGCUCAGGUGUGGUGCAAAAGGCCAAGGAGGUCACAUGGGCUGCAGCAAGGGCCAGUGCUGCAGCCACACGGCUCAUGGCCAAGGCUGAGAAUGGGAAGAUCUUUGCAUGGAGGCAUUGAGGACUAGAAAUCCCCUCUGUGCCUUGUUCUACUAGAACUCAGACACAAUUUCAGGGAAUAUGGGAAAACCUCAAA